Molecule: ribosomal RNA, 178 nt
Filed under: uncultured bacterium
Lineage: Bacteria
Description: partial 16S ribosomal RNA
Rfam family: Bacterial small subunit ribosomal RNA
Source: RNAcentral
AUUACUCCUACGGGAGGCAGCAGCAAGGAAUUUUCGUCAAUGGGCGCAAGCCUGAACGAGCAACGCCGCGUGGAGGAUGACGGCCUUCGGGUUGUAAACUCCUUUUCCGGGGGAUGAUUGUGACCGUACCCUGGGAAUAAGGCUCGGCUAACUCUGUGCCAGCAGCCGCGGUAAUAAU